This 253-nucleotide ribosomal RNA is filed under the name uncultured bacterium. RNAcentral's name for it is "partial 16S ribosomal RNA". It matches the Rfam family "Bacterial small subunit ribosomal RNA", at positions 524 to 776 of the family's 1533-position model. The record is from RNAcentral.
UACGAAGGGGACUAGCGUUGCUCGGAAUCACUGGGCGUAAAGGGUGCGUAGGCGGGUCUUUAAGUCAGGGGUGAAAUCCUGGAGCUCAACUCCAGAACUGCCUUUGAUACUGAGGAUCUUGAGUACGGGAGAGGUGAGUGGAACUGCGAGUGUAGAGGUGAAAUUCGUAGAUAUUCGCAAGAACACCAGUGGCGAAGGCGGCUCACUGGCCCGUUACUGACGCUGAGGCACGAAAGCGUGGGGAGCAAACAGG